This 402-nucleotide ribosomal RNA is filed under the name Triticum aestivum (bread wheat). RNAcentral describes it as "partial small subunit ribosomal RNA". The record is from RNAcentral. Lineage: Eukaryota; Viridiplantae; Streptophyta; Magnoliopsida; Poales; Poaceae.
AUGAGUGGAAUUGAAGAGAGCAGAUCUGAGGUUCUCUAUUGGACUUUUGUCGGCGUUGCCCCGUCUCCUCAAAUACGGCCGUCUCUUCCAUUGGAUCUUGCCACCAUGGUGGUGGAAGGGAUUUCGGCGAUGUGCCUUUUCUUUCUUCGUGUUUUUCUCUCUUUAGGUACAACAAACACCUACUUUCUCCACCUAUGCUCAAUGGUUUUGGUCCUCAUCAUCCUUCUCUCUGUCGAGUUUCCUGAUUUGGUGCUUCAUCUUCUUAUUCCUAUUGGUCUGAGUGGACAGUUCGUAGGUGUUGCAUACAUUUAUCUAUCUUUCUUGGCAACGUCUCCUUCUUCCUUUGGUGAAGUUCUCUCUUAUUUUCUGCAUCAAAGGGAGGCCUUCUUCUAUCGAAGUUGA